UAGGGAAUCUUCGGCAAUGGGGGCAACCCUGACCGAGCAACGCCGCGUGAGUGAAGAAGGUUUUCGGAUCGUAAAGCUCUGUUGUAAGUCAAGAACGAGUGUGAGAGUGGAAAGUUCACACUGUGACGGUAGCUUACCAGAAAGGGACGGCUAACUACGUGCCAGCAGCCGCGGUAAUACGUAGGUCCCGAGCGUUGUCCGGAUUUAUUGGGCGUAAAGCGAGCGCAGGCGGUUUGAUAAGUCUGAAGUUAAAGGCUGUGGCUCACCCAUAGUUCGCUUUGGAAACUGUCAAACUUGAGUGCAGAAGGGGAGAGUGGAAUUCCAUGUGUAGCGGUGAAAUGCGUAGAUAUAUGGAGGAACACCGGUGGCGAAAGCGGCUCUCUGGUCUGUAACUGACGCUGAGGCUCGAAAGCGUGGGGAGCGAACAGGAUUAGAUACCCUGGUAGUUCUCGCCGUAAACGAUGAGUGCUAGGUGUUGGAUCCUUUCCGGGAUUCAGUGCCGCAGCUAACGCAUUAAGCACUCCGCCUGGGGAGUACGACCGCAAGGUUG
Molecule: ribosomal RNA, 550 nt
Filed under: uncultured bacterium
Lineage: Bacteria
Description: bacterial SSU rRNA
Rfam family: Bacterial small subunit ribosomal RNA
Source: RNAcentral